This 336-nucleotide unclassified non-coding RNA is filed under the name fungal sp. RNAcentral describes it as "partial internal transcribed spacer region". The stretch from base 1 to 46 matches the Rfam family "Eukaryotic small subunit ribosomal RNA", at positions 1786 to 1831 of the family's 1831-position model. The record is from RNAcentral. Lineage: Eukaryota; Fungi.
AAGUCGUAACAAGGUAACCGUAGGUGAACCUGCGGUUGGAUCAUUAAAAACACUUCCGGGUUGCAAAUUCAAGUAGCAAGCCGUUUCGUAUUUUUAUAUGAAAGAAGCCCUCGAAAGGGGGUAUUCAACUUACAUCUUGUGAACCGUUCUGUCUCUGGUGGGCGGGCAGUCUCUCUGAGUUCUGCUUGUCAGCACGAGUGUCUACUCGUAGCCGUGGACGACCCACCAACCCUCGGCAUUGCCGAUUAUUUUUUCACCUUUAUAGUAUUUUCAUGUCUGACAUUUACCUGUAUUUAAUACAAAAAACAACUUUUGGCAACGGAUCUCUUGGCUCUC